GGGUAAUUGCCAUCCGGUCAGU
Molecule: microRNA, 22 nt
Filed under: Mesocestoides corti
Lineage: Eukaryota; Metazoa; Platyhelminthes; Cestoda; Cyclophyllidea; Mesocestoididae
Description: mco-miR-36b-3p
Gene: mco-miR-36b-3p
Source: miRBase by way of RNAcentral